AGUCGUCGUGGCCUAAAGGAUAAGUCGCCCGGUGCAUUCGUAUCGAACGAUGCGAUUGAACCGGUGUUCGAAUCCCACAGGCCGGUAGCAAUUUUUACUAAUGGAUUACGUACUUAUCAAAUGCUUACUAUCGAUUUUCGUGGUAAAGGAAUAACAUCAUGUAAUAUAAAUGUAAUGUAAUAUCAAUCAAACUCGUUAAAAAAUAUAAUUUGCGUAAUUGCUGGUGCUAGGGCGUAUUGUGAGCCCGCACGGGUAGGUACCAUCAGCCUACCUGUUUCUGCCGUGACGAAGCGUUUCAGUUUGAAGGAUGGGGCAGCCGUUGUACUAAAAAAUCGAGAUUUGCUGGUGGUAGGACCUCUUGUGAGCCCGCACGGGUAGGUACCACCACCCCGCUUAUUUCUGACGCAAACCAGUAACGCGUUUCAGUUUGAAGGGCGGGGCAGCCGUUGUAACUAUACUGAGACCUUAGAACUCAUAGCUCAAGGUGGGUGACGGUUUUUACGUCGUUGAUGUCUAUGAGCUCCAUCUAAGCAAAAGUAUCUAAAAAAAAAGAUCCCAUGAUUGAAAUGUCGGGCGAUUGUUUUCCCAGUCUCUGAAGAUUAAGAUUGAAUCGCUCUUUCCUCAUUUCUCACAAUGUUGCGAAAGGUUAGUGAAUUAAACUCUCAGAUAUCCGACCUACAAUUAGCCCAUAGACACAGCCCACUGCGUUUCUCGCCGGAUCUCUCAGUGGGUGGCGUUUCCGAUCCGGUGGUAGGUUCUGCGAAGCACGGCUCUUGGUAGGGUCAGUGUUAGCAACACUCUGGUUUGAGCCCCGUGAGCUCACCAACACACGUUAGGGUGAAGCUGAAAUAGCCUCCCAAGGCUAUCAGCAUAAAUAGGAAAAAAAAAAGUUGUCUAUUGGUGGGUAACGCCUUAAAAUUAUUCACUAAGUUACAAAGCAAUAAAUGGCCAAAUACCAAUUGCGACUUCGUUGUAAUAUACAUUACGUAGAGAAAUGAGAAAUAAAAACAUCAAUAAUUUAAAAAAAAAUUCAAGACCAAUCCGAUUUUAUGCAUUCUGACGAUUAUACCAACCGCCUUAUUCCUAAAUCUGAGACUGCUGAUGAUACUAUCAAAACAAUGUGACCACGAAUUAAAUUAAUUGAAAACGCAGACAAACAAGAUGGCGCUGAUAAAACCACACCGCAUAUCAAUUGUAAAUAAAGAAUAAGUAAUGACUAUAACACAGGGUAGAGACGCCCACGACAUCUCUCGAAAUGAAAAUAGAAUGCUUAAAAUUAUGUAUUUUUGUCUAGUAUUGUCAGUUUGAACGCGUCCGUUCGGGUGAUCGCUUCGUUUCCCCGAGAUUUCGGCGGGAAAAUAACGCGAUAUGUGCAAAGGCUGUAGGGAAUAAAUUCCUUUGGUUUAAAGUCCAAUAAAAAAAUAUAUUUGUGGACGUUAAAAUAUUAAAUUUGAAAUCAACAAAAUUAAAUAACAGUGAUCGACAAUUUGUUGAAUGUUUAGAAUCAAAUAAAACAAAAUUAUUACUUGGCAAACACAACAGACUGUGUGUCAACGAAGUCAUUUAUAAGUGAGUAGUACACUCAAUUAAUUUAUGAACGAUUACGAGAAUAUAAAAUACAUUACCGACUAUUUUGAGAUAAUUGCACGUAUCCGUAUUGAAAAUUUCAGAACACUAUUAAAAUACGCUCGUAAAAAUGUUCAUAGAAUCGAAAUUUGCGAUUAUGCAGGUAAGGAUGUAACUAUACUUGAGACCUUAGAACUUAUAUCUCAAGGCACCCACCUUAUAUCUUAGUCUAUGUCUAGUCAUUGUAGGUCGUAUGUCCCGUCAAAGAGGUUGCACGCCAAGAAAUCCUUUUUUUUAUUGCUUAGAUGUGUGAACGAGCUCACAGCCCACCUAGUGUGGUUACUGGAGCCCAUAGACAUCUACAACGUAAACGCCGCCACCUACCUCGAGAUAUGAGUUCUAAGGUCGCAGUAUAGUUACAACGGCUGCCCCACCCUUCAAACCGAAACGCAUUACUGCUUCACGGCAGAAAUAGGCAGAGUGAUGGUGCCUACCCGUACGGACUCACAAGAGGUCCUACCAUCAGUAAGUAAGUUACUUUGAACAAAUCCCCUCCCAGCUACUCUAAUAGUAAAAAAUUUAAAUGAUCUAUUUAUGCUCGCGCCAACAUUCAUUAGUAUUAGCGGAAAUAAUAUUUUUCUACAGCUCAGUAAUAAAUGAUAUUCAAUUAUUAGACAAUUUAUUUCAAUCAAAACGAAA
Bombyx mori (domestic silkworm) is the source of this 2265-nucleotide long non-coding RNA. RefSeq lists it as uncharacterized. The record is from RefSeq and is a predicted model, not a curated record. NCBI's taxonomy places the organism in Eukaryota, Metazoa, Arthropoda, Insecta, Lepidoptera, Bombycidae. The transcript has 2 exons.